RNAcentral lists this ribosomal RNA (253 nucleotides) under uncultured bacterium. RNAcentral's name for it is "partial 16S ribosomal RNA". It matches the Rfam family "Bacterial small subunit ribosomal RNA", at positions 524 to 776 of the family's 1533-position model. The record is from RNAcentral.
UACGUAGGGUGCAAGCGUUGUCCGGAAUUAUUGGGCGUAAAGAGCUCGUAGGCGGUCUGUCGCGUCUGCUGUGAAAACCUGGGGCUUAACCCCGGGCCUGCAGUGGGUACGGGCAGACUAGAGUGUGGUAGGGGAGACUGGAAUUCCUGGUGUAGCGGUGAAAUGCGCAGAUAUCAGGAGGAACACCAGUGGCGAAGGCGGGUCUCUGGGCCAUAACUGACGCUGAGGAGCGAAAGCGUGGGGAGCGAACAGG